CAGGAAGUGAUGUCACAGCAGAUGACACCACAGGGCCCAUGGUGGCGCUGGUUCAGUCACCUGUUCAGCAGGUAAACAGUCUACACAUCUUCAUCGGACACACACUCAGACUCUCCCUCAUCAUCUUCAUUCCUGCUCUGCUGCUGACAGCUGCUUAUAGAGUGUGGCGGUCCAAUCGGAGAGCAACGACUGACCGGAGGCUGAACCAAUCAGAAGAGGAGGACAGCUCAGUGUAGACACACAGGGAUCACAUG
This is a long non-coding RNA of Scomber japonicus (chub mackerel), 254 nucleotides long. RefSeq lists it as uncharacterized. The record is from RefSeq and is a predicted model, not a curated record. The transcript is spliced from 3 exons. Lineage: Eukaryota; Metazoa; Chordata; Actinopteri; Scombriformes; Scombridae.